Molecule: non-coding RNA, 93 nt
Organism: Marasmius tenuissimus
Lineage: Eukaryota; Fungi; Basidiomycota; Agaricomycetes; Agaricales; Marasmiaceae
Source: the annotation of a GenBank genome assembly
GGGCACUUGGCACAGGGGUAGCGCGCACGCUUCGCAAUGGUAUAUCUGCCUCAAGAAUGCGUGAGGUCGUGGGUUCAAAUCCCACAGUGUCCA